RNAcentral lists this transfer RNA (72 nucleotides) under Candidatus Zambryskibacteria bacterium CG11_big_fil_rev_8_21_14_0_20_40_24. RNAcentral's name for it is "tRNA-OTHER". It matches the Rfam family "tRNA". From Rfam's summary of the family: Transfer RNA (tRNA) molecules are approximately 80 nucleotides in length. Their secondary structure includes four short double-helical elements and three loops (D, anti-codon, and T loops). Lineage: Bacteria; Candidatus Zambryskiibacteriota. The record is from RNAcentral.
GGCCGUGUAGCUCAACCCGGUAGAGCGUGAGCUCGUAGGCUCAAGGUGUGGGUUCAAAUCCCUCCACGGCCU